CUACGGGACGCAGCAGUGGGGAAUAUUGCACAAUGGGCGCAAGCCUGAUGCAGCCAUGCCGCGUGUAUGAAGAAGGCCUUCGGGUUGUAAAGUACUUUCAGCGGGGAGGAAGGGAGUAAAGUUAAUACCUUUGCUCAUUGACGUUACCCGCAGAAGAAGCACCGGCUAAUCCGUGCCAGCAGCCGCGGUAAUACGGAGGGUGCAAGCGUUAAUCGGAAUUACUGGGCGUAAAGCGCACGCAGGCGGUUUGUUAAGUCAGAUGUGAAAUCCCCGGGCUCAACCUGGGAACUGCAUCUGAUACUGGCAAGCUUGAGUCUCGUAGAGGGGGGUAGAAUUCCAGGUGUAGCGGUGAAAUGCGUAGAGAUCUGGAGGAAUACCGGUGGCGAAGGCGACCCCCUGGACGAAGACUGACGCUCAGGUGCGAAAGCGUGGGGAGCAAACAGGAUUAGAUACCCCAGUAGUC
Molecule: ribosomal RNA, 463 nt
Filed under: uncultured bacterium
Lineage: Bacteria
Description: partial 16S ribosomal RNA
Rfam family: Bacterial small subunit ribosomal RNA
Source: RNAcentral